AGUGAACGCUGGCGGUAGGCCUAACACAUGCAAGUCGAACGGCAGCACAGUAAGAGCUUGCUCUUACGGGUGGCGAGUGGCGGACGGGUCAGGAAUACAUCGGACUCUACUUUUUCGUGGGGGAUAACGUAGGGAAACUUACGCUAAUACAGCAUACGCCCUACGGGUGAAAGCAUGGGAUUUUCGGACCUUGCGCGAUUGAAUGAGCCGAUGUCGGAUUAGCUAGUUGGCGGGGUAAUGGCCCACCAAGGCGGAGAUCCGUAGCUGGUCUGAGAGGAGGGUCAGCCACACUGGAAGUGAGACACGGUCCUGAGUCCUACGGGAGGCAGCAGUGGGGAAUAUUGGACAAUGGGCGCAAGCCUUAUCCAGCCAUACCGCGUGUGUGAAGAAGGCCUUCGGGUUGUAAAGCCCUUUUGUUGGGAAAGAAAAGCAGCAGGUUAAUACCCCGCUGUUCUGACGGUACCCAAAGAAUAAGCACCGGCUAACUUCGUG
RNAcentral lists this ribosomal RNA (492 nucleotides) under uncultured bacterium. Its description in RNAcentral is "partial 16S ribosomal RNA". It matches the Rfam family "Bacterial small subunit ribosomal RNA", at positions 29 to 507 of the family's 1533-position model. The record is from RNAcentral.